AUUGAACGCUGGCGGCAUGCUUUACACAUGCAAGUCGAACGGCAGCGCGGGCUUCGGCCUGGCGGCGAGGGGCGAACGGGUGAGUAAUACAUCGGAACGUGCCCAGCAGUGGGGGAGAGCUCGGCGAAAGCCGGAUUAAUACCGCAUACGACCUGAGGGUGAAAGCGGGGGAGCUUCGGACCUUGCGCUAUUGGAGCGGCCGAUGGCAGAUUAGCUAGUUGGUGGGGUAAAGGCCUACCAAGGCGACGAUCUGUAGCUGGUCUGAGAGGACGACCAGCCACACUGGAACUGAGACACGGCCCAGACUCCUACGGGAGGCAGCAGUGGGGAAUUUUGGACAAUGGGCGAAAGCCUGAUCCAGCAAUGCCGCGUGUGUGAUGAAGGCCUUCGGGUUGUAAAGCACUUUUGGCGGGAACGAAAAGGACUGUGCCAAUACCACGGUUCGAUGACGGUACCCGCAGAAUAAGCACCGGCUAACUACGUG
This 484-nucleotide ribosomal RNA is filed under the name uncultured bacterium. RNAcentral's name for it is "partial 16S ribosomal RNA". It matches the Rfam family "Bacterial small subunit ribosomal RNA", at positions 29 to 507 of the family's 1533-position model. The record is from RNAcentral.